Molecule: long non-coding RNA, 4133 nt
Filed under: Gossypium barbadense (sea-island cotton)
Lineage: Eukaryota; Viridiplantae; Streptophyta; Magnoliopsida; Malvales; Malvaceae
Description: long non-coding RNA (GBAR_LNC013855)
Source: RNAcentral
AACAGAAUAAAGUAAAUGAAUUAUAAAAUAAAUAAAGAACUAAAGAUAGAAAGAAGAAACAGAGAAGCAUUCGAACGGCGGAAAAGAAGAAGGGAAAGAAAAGAAGAAAGGGAAAAUUAGGGAUUUGAAGCUUAGAGUUUAAUUUGGUAAGUCAAUUAGGUUCUUUUUACUUAAUUUUGAUGUUUUAAAAGCUUUAAAACAAUAUUUUAUUGAAAUUAAGUUGAUAUUUUAAGAGUUCAUGGGUUUUCAAGUAUAGUUUAUGUUGAACAAAAAAGAUGAAUUAGGGAUUUAAUUGAAUGAAUUUCAAGUUAGAAUUGAUAAAAGGAUUAAAUUGUGAAGUAAGCUAUAAGUUUUAUGUUUUAGGGACUAAAUUGAGAGAAAUUCGAAAUUAGGAAAAUAUGCUGAAAUUUUAAUAGUAAAAUUUGAGUUUGGAUGAAAUUUGAAUAGAAAGAGAGUGUGAAUUGAAUUAGAAAAGUAAGAAAACUUGGUUAGGAUUAAAUUGAGAACAAGGUAGGAAUCGAUUAGAAAUUCAAUUAUUUAUCAUAAUUAGUGUUGUAAUUAAUAGUGUAAAUUAUUAUUAUUUUCAUAGCUAGCAAAGAACCAGAAGCAUCUGCACGGAAGGAAAAAGAGAAGAUUAUCGAGUAAACUCGAGAAAAUCACGGUUUGUAUUACUAUAAUUCAAAUUAUUUAUUAUUUUAAUGUUAAAUUUAGAUUAUGUAUAAGGUAAGCAAAUAAUAAGAUAAGUGAGAUUAUUGAAUUGAAUUUGGAAAAUUAAAUUGAAUGAGAAAAGUAUGUGUUGGUAUUGAAUUGUGUUUGGAUGAAAAGCUUGAGAUAUCUAGAUCGACUGGGAAACGAGCUGGAUUCUCGAGAUCUUUUCGGUAAACAAGCUCAUACCGAAUUACCAAAAAGAUCUCGAAAAACCAACUCGUUUCUCAAUCGAUCUAGAUAUCUCAGGCUUUUUAUCCAAACCCGACAUCUACUAUUACCAUCUUUGCUAUCUCUACCAAAUCUACAAAUUUCGUAAUUCAAUGUGAUAUCAGCUGUACCCUGAUCUCAUCUCUCAAACCCCAAAGAAACCUUUUACAUUUACUAAUUACAACACAAUUCAAUAUCAACACAUACUUUUCUCAUUCAAUUUAAUUUUCCAAAUUCAAUUCAAUAAUGUCACUUACCUUAUUAUUUGCUUAUCAUACACAUAAUCUAAAUUCAACAUUAAAAUAAUAAAUAAUUUGAAUUAUAGUAAUACAAACCGUGAUUUUCUCGAGUUUACUCCUCGAUAAUCUCCUCUUUUCCCUUCCAUGCCGAUGCUUUUGGUUCUUUACUAGCUACGAAAAUAAUAAUAAAUUACACUAUUAAUUACAGCACUAAUUAUGAUAAAAUAAUUGAAUUUCUAAUCGAUUCCUACAUUUUUCUCAAUUUAAUCCUAACUAAGUUUUCUUACUUUUCUAAUUCAAUUCACACUCUAAUUCUAUUCAAAUUUCAUCUAAACUCAAAUUUUACUAUUAAAAUUUCAGCAUAUUUUUCUAAUUUCGAAUUCCCCUCAAUUUACUCCCUAAAACAUAAAACUUAUAGCUUACUUCAUAAUUUAAUCCUUUUAUCAAUUCUAACUUGAAAUUCAUUCAAUUAAAUCCCCUUUGUUCAACAUAAACUAUACUUGAAAACCUAUGGGCUCUUAAAAUAUCAACUUAAUUUCAAUAAAAAUCUUGUUUUAAAGCUUUUAAAACAUCAAAAUUAAAUAAAAAAAACCUAAUCGACUUACCAAAUUAAACUCUAAGCUUCAAAUCCCUAAUUUUCCUUUUCUUCUUUUCUUUCCCUUUUUCUUUUCCGCCGUUCGAAUGCUUCUCUGUUUCUUCUUUCUAUCUUUUGUUCUUUAUUUAUUUUAUAAUUCAUUUACUUUAUUUUGUUUGUUAGCUUAACAUAUAUUAAUAUAUUUUUUUCUAUUAUAAAUAUCUAUUAAAUAUCUAAUCAUAUAUUCACAUUUUUACACCAUCAAUACCAUACAAUUGUCACUACUUAAUUUGUUUAUCAAAUAAAAAUCUCAUAAUAUAAUUAUUUAAUUAUUAAAUAUCUUUUAAUUUAAUAAUAAUUGAUAAUAUAUAAUCAAUAUCUUAUGUUUAAUUAAUAUUUUUAAUUACACAUGUCUUAUUUUAUCACCAUCCAUUUGUCAAAAUCAUAACUUAUUUAUCAUAAAAAAUCUUAUAAUAUAGUUAUUUUGAAUUAAUUUAAUAUAAUUUAUAACUAAAAUAAUAUAUUUAUAAUUUAUAACUUAACAAAAAUCUUAGAUGGUUGUUUUAAUGUUUGCCGCCUCAUAUUCCAAAUAUGGUUUAAUUUCCCAUUUGAUCCUUUUUGAUUUCUUUUAAUCUAUAAUUUAACUUUUACACUUAAUUCUAUUUAGUCCUUUUUUCUAAUUAUUAUUAAUUAGACUAAAUUCACCUAAUUAAUAUCUAAUUAAACACUCAACUAAACUCAUAAUUACUUCUAAUAAUUAUUUAUGACUCAGUUUAUUAAGACGGAGGCCCGAUAAUGUACAUUUCCAAUGCCUAUGAAUUUUGAGUCAUUACACUAUAGGCAUUGAAAGUAUAAAUGAAUUAAAACUCUAUUUCUAGUCACUUUCAGAAUCAUGAAGUAUAUUAAACUGAUAUUGAUCUUGAUGAACAUCCACUUCAUAAUUAAAUAUUUAUAACACACCUAUUUGAAUGUCCAUGAGUAGAUAAUGUGCCUCAUUAAAUCGCUAAAUUAUUUUAUGGAUCCUUCCCACCACAUCAUUUAUGGUCCAUUUCCAAUUAUUUAAUGACAUUUCAACAAUUUUUUCGUGUCAUUGAUACACAAUUUGGUAAUUUUUUUAUCUUUAACCUCGAACUUCGAACUCAUUUGAGGUUUAGGGUUUAUAGUUCAUGGUUCGAGAUUGAGUUCAGGUUUAAGGUUCAGGGUUCAACGUAAAAAGAUUAUCAAAAUUAUGUGUCAAUAACAUGAUUUUUUUUGAAAUGUCAUUAAAUAAUUAAAAAAAUAGACAAUGGAUGAUGUGGUGGAAACGGUUCAUAAAAUAAUUUCUCCAUUAAACCUUAUUAACAUGAAUGCCUUUUGAGAAAAAUAUUAUUAGUAAAAGAAAAAGAGUACAAAUAUUUAUGAUACGCAUGACAAGUUAUCUCAUUAUAAAUUUUAUCAAGAAAAUUCAGUGAGAUAAAACAUCGAUUAAAACAAAAAGAAUACAAGGUGCAUUUACUGUUAUUUAUGACAACCAAGUAAUAUAUUAUAUUCUAAGUAUUAAAAUAUUCAUAACAAGAUUAAAAAUAUUAACAUAUAUAAUAAUUAAAUUAAAUUUACAUAUGGUUGGAAUUAAAUAUUAAAAUAUUAAACACUGACUCACUUUAAGUUACAAAACCUAAAGGAACAACCUUCGUCUUUGUUUUUAGUGGUACAGCUUUAAAAACUUGCGUGGCCCAUGAGUUUUGUGCAACAACUUGAUGUGUUCUUUUUCUCCGCCCAUCGAAGGAGUGCUUUUUUCACGUGAUAUCAACAUCAAAAGGUCCAAAUUUUCACACUACACAUCUCGUUUCACCAUUCACACCUAUUUUCUAGUUGAUUGAAUUUUAUUGGUCAUUUAAUAAAAUCCAUUAUGCCAACGGGGCCCUCUCGUUUGGUACAGUUGAUAAGGGCAGAUGUAUUGGUACCGUUGUUUAAAUUGGUAUGAUUAUUCGAUUCAAUCAGUUUUUUUAAAUUGGUAUGAUUAUUCGAUUCAAUCAGUUUUUUUCGAUUAAACUGAAUUGUAUAGUUGAAUUUAUUGAAUCAGAUUUUUUAAUAUUUUUAUUUUAUGAGUUUUUAAUAAUUUAUAUAAUCAAAUCAGUCGAAUUGAUUGGAGGCGGUGAACUGGAGUUUUAAUUGAUUUGAUCUCUGAUCUGAUUCUAAAAAUCUUGGGUUUGGGUUCUGAAAUACCCACAUUUGAGAUUUUGUCAUGCGCAAUUAUAUGUAUGGGUUUUCGAGACCCGUACAAUUAUCAUGUGUGGAUUUUAGUUUGGUUCAUUGAAUUGUAUCAAUUCUUAGUUUAUUUGUGUUGUAAUAGUUUGAUUAUACUUUGUGAUUAUCCGUAUGGUUUGUUUGUACUAUAAGCCAGUUAUAGUUUAAUAUUUGUGGUU